RNAcentral lists this ribosomal RNA (302 nucleotides) under uncultured bacterium. RNAcentral's name for it is "partial 16S ribosomal RNA". It matches the Rfam family "Bacterial small subunit ribosomal RNA", at positions 508 to 807 of the family's 1533-position model. The record is from RNAcentral.
GCAGCAGCCGCGGUAAUACGGAGGGUGCAAGCGUUAAUCGGAAUUACUGGGCGUAAAGCGCACGCAGGCGGUCUGACAAGUCAGAUGUGAAAUCCCCGGGCUUAACCUGGGAACUGCAUUUGAAACUGUCAGGCUGGAGUCUUGUAGAGGGGGGUAGAAUUCCAGGUGUAGCGGUGAAAUGCGUAGAGAUCUGGAGGAAUACCGGUGGCGAAGGCGGCCCCCUGGACAAAGACUGACGCUCAGGUGCGAAAGCGUGGGGAGCAAACAGGAUUAGAUACCCCGGUAGUCCCUGUCUCUUAUAC